RNAcentral lists this ribosomal RNA (254 nucleotides) under uncultured bacterium. RNAcentral describes it as "partial 16S ribosomal RNA". It matches the Rfam family "Bacterial small subunit ribosomal RNA", at positions 524 to 777 of the family's 1533-position model. The record is from RNAcentral.
UACGUAGGGCGCAAGCGUUAUCCGGAAUUAUUGGGCGUAAAGAGCUCGUAGGCGGUUUGUCGCGUCUGCCGUGAAAGUCCGGGGCUCAACUCCGGAUCUGCGGUGGGUACGGGCAGACUAGAGUGAUGUAGGGGAGACUGGAAUUCCUGGUGUAGCGGUGAAAUGCGUAGAUAUCUGGAGGAACACCGGUGGCGAAGGCGGCAUCCUGGACCAACACUGACGCUGAGGAGCGAAAGCCAGGGGAGCAAAGCGGG